Molecule: ribosomal RNA, 439 nt
Filed under: uncultured bacterium
Lineage: Bacteria
Description: bacterial SSU rRNA
Rfam family: Bacterial small subunit ribosomal RNA
Source: RNAcentral
UACGGGAGGCAGCAGUGGGGAAUAUUGCACAAUGGGCGCAAGCCUGAUGCAGCCAUGCCGCGUGUAUGAAGAAGGCCUUCGGGUUGUAAAGUACUUUCAGUCGUGAGGAAGGUGUUAAGGUUAAUAACCUUAGCAAUUGACGUUAGCGACAGAAGAAGCACCGGCUAACUCCGUGCCAGCAGCCGCGGUAAUACGGAGGGUGCGAGCGUUAAUCGGAAUUACUGGGCGUAAAGGGCACGCAGGCGGUUAAUUAAGUUGGAUGUGAAAUCCCCGGGCUUAACCUGGGAAUGGCAUUCAAGACUGGUUAGCUAGAGUCUUGUAGAGGGGGUAGAAUUCCAUGUGUAGCGGUGAAAUGCGUAGAGAUGUGGAGGAAUACCGGUGGCGAAGGCGGCCCCUGGGACAAAGACUGACGCUCAUGUGCGAAAGCGUGGGGAGCAAA